AGAGAUCCCUCCUUGGUGAAUCUCUCCCCUACAAACCUAGAAUCUUCUGAUAUGGCAAGCCUGCAAUUAUUGCUGCAUCUGAAGGUCAAUUCUUUGGCAUUACUGCAACACGUUCCAAACAGCUGAUGUCAGCAUUCCUUCCUAUGGAGCCUGACACUGGAUUGGUAACUGAAAUGAAGAAGUAAAAAAAGGCAGCUGGCAAAGUCAGCACCUAGCACAACAGCAGAGCUGAAC
This 234-nucleotide long non-coding RNA is filed under the name Gallus gallus (chicken). Lineage: Eukaryota; Metazoa; Chordata; Aves; Galliformes; Phasianidae. The record is from RNAcentral.